Non-coding RNA from Pelodiscus sinensis (Chinese soft-shelled turtle), 1623 nucleotides. NCBI's taxonomy places the organism in Eukaryota, Metazoa, Chordata, Testudines, Trionychidae. The record is from RefSeq and is a predicted model, not a curated record.
GGAUUCCCCCCAGAGCCUGUUUCAUCUGCGGGGGGGCGGGGGGCAGGAAGAAAUCACCUCGCAAUGGAGGAACGAGGUGGCUAGGGCAGAGGGUCUGUCCCAGUUUUGAAGUCCAAGAAGCUGCUGCCCCACGGCUUUCUGUUUAUUCACCUGCUCGCCCUCACCCAUGUGGAGAAAAAAGCCAGAGAGGAGGUUAAUGGGGGUCACUCCUCGCAUGUCCCCCCUCCCCCCUGCUCAGAUAGCUUUAGCCACAGCUCCAGAGCAGCUCACUGGAUGAGUUUGCCAAGAACUGUCUCCCCCCCACCACCCCUCUAAGCCUGUCUCCUGGAGGGAGGGGCUAUUCGGUUGGGUUGCAGGGGUGGGGGGGUUGGUAGAGCUCCUUCCCUCUGGUGUUAGGGUUGCCAGAGGUCUGGUUUUGAACUGGACAGUCCAGUAUUUGAGCUUUCUGUUCGGGAAACAAAUGGAGAAAAUAGAAAUGAGAAAAUAGAACUGUCCGGUAUUUUCUAACUAAGAUGUCAUGUCGAUUAUGAUGUCAUGUUAAGUAUGUCCAGUGUUUUUGUGGAAACCAUCUGGCUACCCUAUCUGGUGUGGAGAUAUCUUUCUCUUGCUUGUUAGCCCAUCCCUGAGAAGAAUUCCCGGCCUGUCUCCUCAGCAGAUCUCAAAGUGCUUCCCAAUGUAGGGUGGGGAAACUGAGGCAGCGCACAAGGAAGUGACUCGCCCAGAAUCUCCCCAAGAGAGGCAGGAAGAGAACCCAGGUGGCAGUGUGCCCAGGCAUUGCUCUACUCGCUGCCCGGGCCCCGAGGCCUGUCAGAAGGGCAUUGUGGGGAGCAAGGGAUGGGUGGUUUUGCUUGUCAGACAAGCCCCAGGGGAGGAGCUAGUGGGUCACAGGAGUCUCUCCGCAUGUGGCCCUUUGCUGGGCCUGAGGCUGAAGGGCCGGGGAAGUGGAUGGAUGGGCCAAGUCGGUCGGGGGCCUGCAGAGGAGUGGGAGGUGGAACAGCUACAAGAGGUGGCAGGUGCUAGGAAUUGCAUGGGCCUCCUGACCCCACCCACCUGCCUCUGAGGACCACGCGGGCAUGAGGUCUGGGGCAGGCAUCUGGGGGCCACACCACUCCUCCUGCAUAAGGGCUCUGGGGAGGGGGGGGCUCUGGGCAUGAGGGAGCAGCCCCGGGCCUGCCCCAGCCCUUGGGGGAAUGGUGAAGAAGCACGACCUGUGAUGGACCCGCUGAGACUGGAGAAGGCGUCUCAGGAAGGGGCAGCUCCCUUUGCAUAGCGCCCGGGGAAAAGCAGAGCCCAUCCACAGAGCUGCUGGGCUGCGGCCGUCACAGUUUGGCCAGAAAGACCCCACCGCCCCCAGGAGACGGGUGAGUCCAGCUGGAUGUCGGGCGGCAGAAGAAAAGUCACGUUCCCCAGGAAGAGCUCUCCAGGCCAAAAACUGUGCUGGGCUUCCCCAGGAGACGCCUCCCAGCUUGCGGCGGCUUGUCUGGGUCUCUGAGCCCCAUGGGGGCUGCCCUGUCAGAACUCUGAACAGUGGGGUCACCGCUCGGACCAUCUCGGGGAGGGAGGGGGGCCUCUGUCAGGCCGGGGCUGCUGUUGUGUAUGAUGAAUAAAUGGGCCUUGGCUAAA